RNAcentral lists this long non-coding RNA (1299 nucleotides) under Olea europaea subsp. europaea. Lineage: Eukaryota; Viridiplantae; Streptophyta; Magnoliopsida; Lamiales; Oleaceae. The record is from RNAcentral.
CCAAAUUGCAAAACCUCCCAACUGACUACAGAGACCACAAAUGUCCUGCAGUUGCAAUGACGCUGCUACAGCGACAGUGAUGGUGCUACGCCGAUCAGGUUAAUGUCACUGCUUUUGGUGUUUUGGUCGACGAAGGAUGGUGUGUGAUGUCUAUUGGAAUAGCCAAUGGUAGAUUAAGUUUUUGUUGGCUAGGUGUGCAGCAAUGGACAAACUACUAAACUGCUGUAGACGAUUGAGGUGCCAAGAUGAGGGUGGUCGGAAUCUGAGGUUGUUUUAAGCGGCUCGCUAGAGAUAUUUUCUCAAGCUAUAUGGAAAGACCUACUCCAGGUUCGUUGUGUGAGUGCUGCUGUGAAAAUGGAUUUCAUUUAUGGAAUUGAAUGAGAUCAUUUAUGUUGAUGCCACCAAUUUUUACAAUUACCUGAAACGUGGUGUAUUACUCUGCUGUGGAAUUUUUAAUAGCCAACAUUUUCUUCAUCUUCUUCAUAUUUUGCUUUAGGGGCAAGCAAGAGAGGGAGAGAAAGUGGAAAGCUUGGCUGCAAUGGGUAGAGAAAAGGGUUUGCGGUGUGAAAUUCACCUGAAGACUUGAAACUUUAUGACUAGACACAUUGUAAUCGUAGCAAAAUUAGAUGAUGUGGAUCAACAAAUUGUUGUUAAUUACUUAAUUCUUGGAUCUCUGUCCCCAAGAAGAUAAUCCAUACACAGAUUUUGGAUGCAUAUUAUUUAUUAUGAACUACCUAAUAGUUUUCCACACCCUCUGCUAGAAAUGCAAGUUGGUAGUGGGUAUUGCGAAAAGGAGGCAGAAAUGGUUUUUUGAGGCUUGGAUAUUGAAGUGGUGGUGGUGGAGAAGAUGGAGUUGUAUAAAAUGAUAUAACUUAAGGUUUUGACUAGUGUUUUGUCACUUUUUUUAAGUCGUUGUCGCUUUUUUUUUUAAUUUUUGUUGCUUUUUUGGUGUUUGUCAAUUUUUUUUAAUGGAACAUGUUACUUUUUUAAAUAUGUUCGUGUUUGCAUUCAUUUUUCCUCUGUUUUGUGUGUAUAGUUUUUUGUAUUUUGGCUUGGUUUGGUGGUAGUAAUAGUGUUGGUGACAAAGAAAGCGGAGGAAUAGAGUUAUGUCAUUGUACCUACUGUAUAUAAUGUCCUUGUAAAUACUUGAUGUCUGUAUUUGGCAUUAUAUCUCUGAUUGCAAAUGAUAGUGGCCUGUUUUAAGGCUUGUGACUAUCAUUGCAAGGAUUGUAAGACACUUUCUACCUUGACUACAAUACUUUAGGAAACCACCUACCAGAGUUAGAAGUUCAGUUCACA